UGGGGAAUAUUGCACAAUGGGCGAAAGCCUGAUGCAGCAACGCCGCGUGAGCGAAGAAGGCCUUUGGGUCGUAAAGCUCUGUCGGAAGGGAAGAAACAAAUGACGGUACCUUCUGAGGAAGCCCCGGCUAACUACGUGCCAGCAGCCGCGGUAAUACGUAGGGGGCGAGCGUUAUCCGGAAUUAUUGGGCGUAAAGAGUGCGUAGGUGGUCUUGUAAGCGUGGGGUGAAAGGCAGUGGCUUAACCAUUGUAAGCCCUGCGAACUGUGAGACUUGAGUGCAGGAGAGGAAAGCGGAAUUCCUAGUGUAGCGGUGAAAUGCGUAGAUAUUAGGAGGAACACCAGUGGCGAAGGCGGCUUUCUGGACUGUAACUGACACUGAGGCACGAAAGCGUGGGGAGCAAACAGG
Molecule: ribosomal RNA, 406 nt
Filed under: uncultured prokaryote
Also listed under: 1 other name
Description: bacterial SSU rRNA
Rfam family: Bacterial small subunit ribosomal RNA
Source: RNAcentral